AAAAAAAAUAAAAAAAAAAAAAAAAAAAAAAAAAAAAAAAAAAAAAAAAAUAAAAAAAAAAAAAAAAAAAAAAAAAAAAAAAAAAAAAAAAAAAAAAAAAAAAAAAAAAAAAAAAAAAAAAAAAAAAAAAAAAAAAUAAAAAAAAAAAAGUAAAAAAAAAAAAAAAAAAAAAAAAAAAAAAAAAAAAAAAAAAAAAAAAAAAAAUAAAAAAUAAAAAAAAAAAAAAAAAAAAAAAAAAAAAAAAAAAAAAAAAAAAAAAAAAAAAAAAAAAAAAAAAAUAAAAAAAAAAAAAAAAAAAAAAAAAAAAAAAAAAACAACAAAAAAAAAAAAAAAAAAAAAAAAAUAAAAAAAAUAAAAAAAAAAAAAAAAAAAAAAAAAAAAAAAAAAAAAAAAAAAAAAAAAAAAAAAAAAAUAAAAAAAAAAACAACCAAAAAUAACAAAAAAAGAAAUAAAAAAAAAGACACACUUAUCCCCGGGAUACAACCUUGCGGGGGGCACGCACCAAUGCUACACGCCACGUCGCCGCGAUGCCGUUUGUUUCACCGGCCACUCCCGGUAUCCCCACCGUCCACCCAAUGACAGCUAACCGCGGGUCCGCCCGAACCGGUUGACUGGUGAUGGGCGGUAGACGAACCCGUUACCCAAUUAAGUUACCGGCUAUAUUAUUUCACAGCACAGUGCUUAUACUAUUAUGAUAUAACAUGAUGGUCCAAAACUAAACUUUUGUAAGUACAACUUUUAAACUAUGAACAAUUCAAAAUGUCAUUAACUUAUUCAUUUAAACAAAUUGAAAAAUUGAGUAAUAAAAUCAAAAUUUUAAACAAUUGGAUAGCCGAUUAAAAAUGAUAUAUAAGGAAAAACUUUAAAUACCACCCAUGCGGUUUCACACUUUCUCACUUUAGGCCCUUAUGGUUUAAAGUAUAUCAAUUAGUGUCAUGUGGUUUUAUUUUUAUCUUUUUAUUAUUGAUUUCACUAAUUUUUUCGUUAAAUCAAUGACAAAGUUAAAACUAAAAGAUAUUAAAAUGAAUAUUCGAUAAAUUUAGAUGGGGUAUCUGAAGUUUUUGGUAUAUAAUUUAACGAAAUAUUAACGAAAAAGCUGACGAAAAGAUAAAAAUGAAACUAAGCACUUUAAACCACAAAGUACUAAAGUGAGAAAAUGCAAAACCACAUGGGUGGUAUUUGAAGUUAAUCGAUAUAUAAUACAGAUAAUCUUUGCACAAUAAGUUCUUUAUAUUCCAACGUGUUUUUGAGCCCAUUUUAUUGAGAAAUACUAAGCCUAAGGUCAAAAAAAAUGGUAAUUGCUACAAGCCGUUGUCCAAGAGUCGUAGGGUUUACUAAUUCUUUAGGUUUUUAGUAAAACAAUUAGGUCAGAUAAUGACAGGUAACUAAUAAAAUUAUUAAGUUUAAUUAAUUUGGCAAAAUUUAAUAACAUUAAUAAUCAUAUUUUAGCAAAUAAAUUUGGACUAAUUCAACAAUCAAUAACUAACACAGUUAUUAAUUUUAAUUGAAAUUUUAAACAUGACUAACUAUACAAAUUCAAUCAAAAAAAAUUAAUUUGAGGGGGUCUUAAUAUAAAAAGUAAAAAGUGAGCGAUCUUUUUCAAAACUUCUUAGAAGUUUGCACAUCCAAAUUAACUAAAAACUAAAAAUUUUAAAUUCUAGAAUAAAGUAAAAAAUAAGAUAUACAAAUUUUUUUUUGAUAGCCAGGUGGGCUUUUCUGAUUUGCUGUUUUUUAUUUUAGGGUUGUAGUAUUUCUAUGCAUCCAGGGGUGUAGACAAUUUGGUCCCGCAAGCAAUUCUCCCCUAUAUAAAAUGAUGGCCCCCUGUUUCUACUUUCUACGGGUCCCUCCAAUUGGAUUCUACCCCACCACUUUUUCCGCUGGGUCGCAUUCGUGUAACAUUUAAAACUUCUUCUUCUUCUUUUUCUUCUUCUUCAAUUUUUUACUUCUUUUAUUUGAUCUUCUUCUUUCUGGGAGAGAUCGGGAGCCAUGGCGAGAUCGCCGGGCGCAAUCAUGGCGCUGAUGUUUAUUCUCAUGGCUGCGGCGGCGGCGGGGGAGCUCUCGCGGCUCGAACACGAUUUGAAGAACGAUGGAUCGCUUAAGAUCCUUGUGGUUGGAGAUUGGGGGAGAAAAGGAACGUACAAUCAAUCGGAAGUCGCAACCCAGGUUUUCGUUUUUAUUUUUAUUUUUAUUUUUUUGUGCAUUUUAUUUGAUACAAAUAAUGUAAAAUUUAGAAAAAACUUCAAAUAUCGCUCUUAUGAUUCCGUAUUUUCUUACUUUAUUGUUUAUUGUCUUUGUGUUUAAAGUAUAUCAAUUUAUUAUUUUGUGGUUUCUUUUUUUUAUUAUUUAUUUUACUAAUUUUUUUUGUUAAAUAAGUAAUAAAGUUAAAAUUAAAGGAUAUUAAAGUGAAUAUUCGAUAAAUUUAGAUGAGAUAUUUGAAAUUUUUUGUGUAUAAUUUAACGAAAUAUUAAUGAAGAAGCGGGUGAAAAAAAAAAUUAUAAAAUACAAACUUCAUAUAUUUUAAAUUAUAAAAUAUUAAAGUAAAAAAAAUACGAAAUCAUGUAGAUGAUAUUUGAAGUUUACCUAAAAUUUAUUGAGCUGUAGUUCUGGGGCUAGUUUUGUUUCAAUCCUUGGAUGGCUUUCUUUGUAACAGGAAUUUGAUGAGCCGUUUGAUUUGACAGGAGCAUUAUAAUGGGAAUCAAAUGACAUAUUCUAAUUUUGUUGUUUUAUGAUAAAAUACGAGCCAAUUUUUUUAUUUUUUAAAUGGAAGAGUCAUCAAAUUGGUUAAAUUAUAAACGUUAGGAGGUUGAACAAUAUUAUUUAACUAAUUUUUAAAUUUUUAGAUGGGAGUGUAAGAUUUAUAUUUCCAUCCCUUUGAUUUGUAGGAGCAUAAAAACAAAAAUCGUAUGACAUAUUCUAAUUUGUUGUGCCAUGAUAAAGUACGUGCGAAUUUUUUUUAUCGAUUAAAUUAUAAUCUUUUGUAGGUUGAACAAGGUUAUUAACUAGUUUUAAAUUUUAAGAGGGAGGAGUGUAAGAUUUACAUUUCAAAACGAGCCAUAUUUUUCAUUUUUUUUUCUUUCAAAAUUUAGUAUUUAUUUGGUUUGCUUUUUCAUAAUUAGUGAGGUGUAUUAUUACCCACUUAUUUGUUUUUGCAAAUUGGACUAUCAAAAUUUGUGACCCAAAUUUAAGAAAUUGCAUCAAAGAAAACUUGCCAACGUAUUAUUGUUAUGGAACUUUUUUGUGGGGGGGUCAUCAAAUCAACUUUCUUGGACCAAAUUGCAAUCGAUAAAAAGUUGGUGGUUUUUUUUUUUGAAAAUCAAAAUAAAGUUAGAGAGUGAAAGCACAAUUAGCAAAAAAAUUGGUUGCCUUUUUUGGUUUCAAUCCUUUUUUUUUCCUGAUAUUUAAUACUUUUUUUUGGUCAUUUCUCAUAAUCAAUAAGGUUUCUUUAUGCAACAAAUAAUGUUCUUCACCACCUUUGAAUUGUAUAUGCUUUCCUUCUACAAGCAAGUAACAAGGAAUGGGGUUUAAGCAUGUUGGGGGAGAUACCUUUUUUGGGACAUUGGGAACAUAAAUUUUUGUCUUUUUUUUUUCCUUUAAUCACAAGAAACACAAAUGUAGGUGAAAAGUUUUCUUUUUGAUUUUUUUUUUUUUUUUUUAAGUUAAUGUAUGUAAAGUGUUGGUUUCUUCUCUGUUUCAAUUUUUUAUCACAUGGGUUGAAGGUGAUAUAUUCCUCACAGUUCCCUUAUGGCAAAGUAGCUCUUUGCUUUCAUUUAUGGAAACUUUGUAAUCCUUUCAAACAUUCUGUAUCAAUCUUUUUUGUGGAAAAGAUUCCUCUAUUAGUUUUGUAAUCUCCCUCAUAAUUAUUUUUUGAACUCUUUGAUCUAUAAAUAACUAUAGUUUUGUGACUUGCAAAAGAAACUAACAAAGCUUUUGAUUUUGAUUUGGUUCAUAGAUGGGAAUGAUUGGGGAGGAACUUGACAUAGAUUUUGUAAUAUCUACUGGGGAUAAUUUCUACGAGGACGGCCUAACCGGCGUCGACGACAAAGCAUUUGAGGAGUCAUUUUCCAAUAUAUACACUGCAAAGAGUUUACAGAAGCCAUGGUACCUCGGUAAUGUUCUGAACUUGUCAUGAGCUGUUUCAAAAUGUAUUUCUACAAAGAAUUUUAUGUUCUUUUUGUUGUCUCCUUGAAAAUUUUCUUUUAUUCUUCUUUUCUGGGAGCAGUUCUUGGGAAUCAUGACUACAGGGGAGAUGUGCUGGCACAAUUAAAUCCUGUUCUUCAAAAGAUUGAUAGCAGAUUUAUUUGCAUGAGAUCUUUCAUUGUCAAUACAGGUAGAGUUUUUCAUUAUUUUUUUUUCUUUUUGCAUGUUUCGCUCAGAUUGUGUAUCACUUUAGGAAUUAAACCUUGAAUAACUAGUCUCCAUCUUUUUUUUGUGUGUGUAUAGAUAUUGUGGAUUUCUUUUUCGCGGACACAACUCCAUUCCAACUGAAGUAUUGGACCGAUCCAGAAGAUGAUCACUACGAUUGGAGGGGAGUUGCACCGCGCGAAACUUACAUCUCUAAUCUCUUGAAGGUGAACUUUAUUUUUUAUGAUUGACACUCAACUUUUGUGUAGUUUGAACUUCAUUUUUUUUCGAUCAGCGCUCAACUUUUCUGAAGUUUCAAGUAAUUUCAGCUGAGGAGGUCUCUAACACAUGUUUUUACCCUGUUCUUUUAAAGUUGGUUAGUAAAAGAGGUGGAUUCCGUUGUGCUAAACCUUUUUCGUGGCUUGAUUAGGAUUUGGAUUCUGCUCUGAAAGCAUCAACAGCAACAUGGAAGAUUGUGGUGGGGCACCACACAAUGAGGAGUGUAAGCGAGCAUGGCGACACCGAGGAGCUUCUGCAGUUACUUCUUCCCAUCCUCAAGGUAGUGAACUUUCCUUUUUUCUUUUUCUUUUUUUUGGGAUCAAUUAGAAAGACACUAAUUCGCCACGGUAAUUAAUCUUGUUUCUUUCAAUUUGUGUAGGCAAAUGGCGCGGACAUGUACAUCAAUGGGCAUGAUCAUUGCCUUGAGCACAUUAGCAGCAAUGACAGGUAAAUUGUGUACUAUUAUCCUCAUACUGUAGCAGAUUAAGGUAAAUUGAGCACAAGGCUUGUUCUAGUUUUGGUGAGAAAAUGCCUUUUUGUUUUCUUCUUUUCAGUUAAGCUCUCUCCUAUUGCGUAGCAAUCCAAUGGCAAUGAUUAGUUGUCAUGGCCUGUAAAAUAGCUUGUCUACUCCCUGUUUUGGUUGGCUUCCAGAUUAGUUUAUCUACUCUGCAAAGCAAUGACUAGACAAUGACUAGACAUUAAAAAGCAAAUAAUUAGUCUAGAGAGUUGCUGCAGAAGGAAGCUGAUAUGUGCUUCUGUGGUCGGAAAGGAAAACUUCUAUUUUGAAUCUUUUGUUUCUUAGAACAGCUGAACUCAAACAGUACUUCUAUUGAAAUUCCAUGCAAGCCAGGCAGCUCGCAUAAUUUGGCAUAAGGGUUUAUUCUAUAUUUCGUCGUGCUCCAGUCAAACAUGCUUCAAGAAUAACUUCGAGCUCAAAAAAUUUUGUUUUUUUUGCUCUAAAUUCAUGAAUUGCUUUAAAUAAACAGUCCGAUCCAAUACUUUACGAGCGGAGGGGGUUCAAAGGCCUGGAGGGGCACGUUCACGCCUAACUCCGACACGCUGCGAUUCUUCUACGACGGGCAAGGGUUCAUGUCCCUUCAACUGACCAAGGCCAAGGCCGACAUCGUAUUCUACGAUGUAUUUGGAAGCGUACUGUACCAAUGGAGCAUGACCAAAUUUAGCAAUCAGAUUCUGCAAUUUCCAAUGUAGGAAGAAGAAAGAAAAAGAGACAUUUUAGUGUGGCCACCAGCAGUUCAUGUAAAUAUAUGUAUAUAUAUAUAUAUAUCAUAUUAGCAAUUUAGAAUUGAAGUAGGAUUUAAACUUGGUGGUGCAUAUAUAUAGAGUGUGACACCCAGAAUGUUGUUAAUUUGUCGGGUGAUUGCUAUAUUAGUAUUCAAAAACAAAAAGGAAAUGGGGGUCAUAUAUACCCAUGGACUAAUCCUAUAAAUCAUAUUUUUAUGCUUCAGACAUUGUACUACUGCUUAUGAAAUGAAUGAUCUUGUUCUAGACUUAGUGGUCCAUGUUCUUCAGCAGUUCAUCAUUUAAUUGCAUUUCCAUUUUAGUUGUUACUGAUGUGACAAAUGAAUAUGUCUGUUUGCUGCACAUUCUCUGCCAAUGAUUCAUCAAAAUAAUUAAGCUGCUGCUGGGAUGUGAACAAACAGACAAAUUGGAAGAUCAUCUGAGAAGGAGAUAGCAUGAUCUCCACCAUCCAAUUAAGUAUAUUUGCUUGCUGAUUUGAAAUUAUUAUUAUUUCUCUUUAAAGCUGAUUGGAUGUCGAAUGCCGAUAGUUUGUAAUGACCAACAAAAGUUGCUAAAUAAUACAAAAAAAGAUUUAUAUUAUUCUAUAUAUUCAAUACGCUCUUUCAACUCUGAACUCGAAAUUAGAGAAAAUUAAAAUAAUUCUAAAAAUCAAGGACCUCAUGAUAUAAUACUAUGUAUAAUAAAAGCACAAUUUCUAGCAAUUUAAUAUUUAAGAGAUAAGCUAUUGUUUUAUAUUAUUUUUAUAUAAUAUCAUCACACGAGGCUUUUAAAUUUCUUUUUUUUUUCUCCUCACUCUCUCAAAAAAAGAAAAAGAAAAAGAAAAAGGAAAUCUCUUAUAAAAAUAGCCCUGAUCGAAUUUCCCGCUGGUUGUCACACUUCACCUACGCUUCCGUGGUUCUGAGAAUUACACGCACCUUCUCUCUCCUCUCUCUCUCUCUCUCUCUCUUCCUCCAUUGUGAAACGGAUUAGAGCUCGAUCUCAUACACAAUCUCAUUGUUGCUUUUGUUAAUUCUCUUCAAGGAUCUUGGAAAAUGGAGGUGAGUUUAUGGUUAUCUAAGUUUUAUUAUAUAUUUUCCCUUCGGUUUUUCUUUAAUAUCUUCUUAAUUUUUAUGGAAGAGUGAUGAUGAUUACGAUAGUGGGAUUCGUGGGAUUUAUUUUAUUACAUUUGCAAGAUCCAUUUGGAUAUAUUCCAAAGAAGAAAUUAUAUUAAAAAAAAAAUGUAGUUCCACAAUAUUAGCUUUCGGAGAAAAGUGGUUAUCUUACCUGAUAUGAUAUCUGAAACAAUUUUAAGCCUAUUCAAUUUCAAAAGGUCUUCGGCUCGAUUCACUACAUUCAUUAUUGAAUGGGCUACAUUCUCAUCUAUACUUUAUUUGACCUUUUGAGAGUGAAUUUGGAGGGAUAUCGAAAAUAAAAAUAAAAAAAGGCCCCACAUUCUUGUCCCUCUUUUUGUGGCAUGUGCAUGCCAUGGCCCACCAGCUUUGUUGAAUCCAAAUACCACCCAAGUCGCUUAGGGGCGUUUAGAUUGACGAAUGAAUUUUUUUAAAGUAUAAUUAUUUUUUAUCAUUUAUUUUAAUGUAAUUUAUACCGUCUGAAAGUUAAAUUUAAUUAUUUUUUUUGUUUAUUUUCGUAUAACUUUAUGCCGGUGAAAUUAAGUUUUUAAGUUCCAUUGUUUAUUUUGAUAUAAAUAAGUAGAUUUCGUUACCUCUUAAAUAUAGUGAUAAACUUAUUCCUAUAAAAUCCAACCUAUUAAAUGAUUAAUUCCUUAUUAUUAUUUGAAAGUAAUCUUAACCCAUUAUAAAAAAAAGUAACUCUGAUCCAUUGUAAAAGAAGUAGAGUUUAAUUUUUAAUAUUUAAUAAAUAUUUCGGAAAAAGUUGAGUGUGAUUGAACUUAAAUUGUCACUUUAGAAGAGGAAGUUAAAAAGUAAAUGAAGUGGAGGUCUAACGUAACUUGAAUUAUGUUAUUUUUUUGACUCACAUCAAAACAAGUAUCGAAGGUGAUGAAACAUGAGUUCCACUCCUUUACUUACACUAACAAACCAAACAUCCCCUUAGGAGUUGUUCCUUUUUUUUCAAAAAGUAUUAAAAACAAAAUUUUUUUUUUCAUGAAAAACUCUUCUUUCAGUUUUUGGCCUAUUUGAUUCAAAAAAAAAUUAUAAAAAAAACUUCUUUUUCAAAUUUUAUAGAAAACUAGCAUUUUCGUUUUCCAAAAAAGGGAAACACUAAUUUUUCAAAAAAGAUGAAAAAAAAAUUUCCCAGAAAGCCUAAUAUUUUUUUGCAACCAAACAGAGAGUUAGAUUUCAAUAAUUUUACUUUAGAUUGUUCUCUUUGUUUCUUCCCUUUUCUUAAUUUCCAUGUGAAGCCUCUAAUGGAAAAAAUUAACUAUACUGCAGGUCCCAGCUGUGGACCAGAACAAUCUGAAGAAGGGAGGAGAGGAUCCUCCUCCAUCUACUGUUACACCCAAUUGGACUAUUGAUGUUUCAGAUGUGAGAUAUUUACUAUGAUUCUAGUAAUGUGGUGGUAGUGAUAUAUACUAUCCAUAACAUAUCUUCAUUUAUUUCUCUCAUAUCUUUUCUGAAAUGGAGUCGAUAACUGUCGAAACAGUUUCCGCCGUUACCGGAACAAGAAAGUUCAAAUUAUGGUUAAGACACAAUGUGUACAUGUUCUUAUAAUAUCAAAACUAGCUUUGCAAUGUUUAUGAGUUUGUAGCUCCUUUUGUUUUUUUUUAAAUAUCUUUCCAUUUGUUACCAUUUAGAUUAUGUGUAAUUCACACUUUCUUUUGUGUCAAAAGUUAAACUGGGUAAAUUGGUGGAGUCAUGUGCUCUUAUCCUGUAUCUUGGUGCAGGUGAGAACUGUAAAAGUGAGCAAUGUAUCCUUGGUUGCAUCAGAAAUCGAUAUCAGGGAGUUCUUUUCCUUCUCCGGCGAUGUCGAAUACGUCGAAACGCGAAGGUUAUUUCCCUUUCUGCUCAUUACAUAUUUGUAUCUUUUGUCUGAAAUGCGCUUCUGAAAUCUCUCCAAAAAUCAGCUAAAAAUUCUGAAACCUGAAUUUACCUCAUCUACCUACGAGAAAAGCGAUCGGUAUCGCGUGUACUGCAAUGUGCACUAUGUAAUUAUCUUCCUUCUUUUCCUUCAGAAUUGAAUCUGAAAGGUCGCAGAUCGCUUACGUGACUUUCAAGGACUCACAGGGAGCAGAUACAGCUUUGCUUCUUUCGGUGAGUUCGAGUUUAAAGCAUUGCGAUAUCACUCGAUUUUAUGAUUUUUUUCCACUUCUGAAUCUGAUUCCUUUUUGGUGUAUGAACUUCGUUUGCUUUUGAAUGCAGGGAGCGACGAUAGCCGAUCUUUCGAUCUCUAUAACACCCUGCGAGAAUUAUCAGCUACCUCCCGAAGCUUACGCACAAAUAACGGUAACUCGCGAUCUUUAGCUUUCGUGUUCAUAAAUGAUUUUAGUAUGAAUCCAUGUCGACAUACAUACUACAUACAUACGUAAAUGCGCAGAGUAAAAUGGACUGACACUUCUCGAGCUUACAUUAGAGUUUUAAUUUGAUUUUAAAGGUAAAAACGUACAGAAAUUGUCUGAAUUAUAGAUCUUUUCGAGUUGGUUAUUCAAUAUGUCAAAUUUUUUAUUUUACAAUUUGAAUCGGUCAACGGCAUAUUAAUUUCAAAAUUUGAGCGCUUUGUUUAUCUUUAUAGAUUUAGUUAGUAUACUUUAUACAAUUUUCGUAACUAUAAAGUAAAGUAAGAGUUGUUAGCUUAAAUUUUAAAAUUAAAAUACCGUUGGCCGACUAAAUUAAAUCAAAUAAAUUAAAAGAUUGAAUAAUAAUAUUAAAAUUUUAAAAGUUUGGAUAGCUGAUUUAAAAUGAUCAUUGUUUAUAUAAGUUCGGUACGCUUUUACCUAAAAUAAAAUAAGAUAAAAAUCCUGAGUUUUUCUAGUCUUGAUAUUGGUUUAUCACCUGUUUAAAGUGUUAAAAAAUUGGUACCUUCGAACAAAAUUCCUCUGUUGAAAUGGAUGGAAAUGUAUGAAUAAGCAGGAGCGUGAUCCCCGAAAAAUAAGAGCUUGUUUGGUUUCAUUUCUGCUUCAUAUUUUACCCGACUUGUUGAUAACGAAAAAAAUAAAAUAAAAUAAAAUCUUCUGUUACAUAGGAAAGUAGAAAUGAGAUUCCGAGCCAUAAAAGCAGAAGCUUAGAGAUAAAUUCAAUAGUUAAAAUGUAAUAUACCAUUUUGACCGCCAAAAUUUAAAUUUUUAGUACCCAAGUGCAAGUACCAAAUAUAGCUUAAACUGUAUCAAAAUGUUGGCUCAACUCAGUUAAACUCUCUCAUGCAUGCAUGUGUGGUCUAGCAAAAAGAAGGGAAGCUCUCGGCAACCGCGGAAUCCGCGGUGCGGAAGGCGGAGGAGGUGGUGAGCACGAUGCUGGCGAAGAGCUUCGCCGCCGGCAAGGACGCGCUCCGGCACGCCCGCUCCUUCGACGAGCGCCACCGCCUCCUCUCCAGCGCGUCCGCCACCGCCGCGUCCCUCGACCGCCGCAUGGGCCUGACCGACAAGUUCAGCACGGGCACGGCCGUCGUCGGCAGCAAGGUCAGAGAGGUCGGCGGCCAGCUCGGGGUGUCGGAGAAGGCGCGGUCGGCGAUCGCCGCCGCCGAGCAGACGGCCGCGGCUGUCAUGGGCAGCCGGUACGUGUCGGCGGGGGCGGCGUGGGUGUCCGGCGCGAUCGGGGCGGUGGCGAGGACGGCGGGGGAGGUCGGAUCAAUGACUAGGGAGAAGGUGGAGAAAGCCGAGGUGCAGAGGAGGGAAACAUGAGUUCAAUUUUCUUCCAUCUCCUUAAAUUACGCUUUAAAAAAAUGUAGACGAAGCUAAAUUUCGAUUUAAACUUCAAGGACCAAAUUCACUCAACUUUUUUAUGUUACUUUUCCAUUAUUUAAACUAAUUGUUCGUGUAGAAUAAAAUAUAAAGUGAUUAUGCAAAAUUUGCGCAUCCGGGGAAUCGAACCCCGGUCAGUACCGUGGGAGGGUACUAUGAUACCACUACACCAGAUGCGCUGUUGACAUAAUCUUUUUAAUUUUAGUAUUUUAAUUUUGCUCAAUAUUCAAUUCAGAUUCAACCAAAUCAAGUUAUUUUGUGCUAAACAAGUCUCAUUGUUGUCGUCUUUUACUUCGUGGCUUGAAGCUGAAUAAAUCUGCUAAACUAUUGCAGUAUGCGUGGAAGAGAUACUAGAAAACCAAGCAUCUUAAAGUGAGUUGUUUUACAUUUUUCGUCUUUGAUGAAUCUACAGUAGGACAUCAGCAUGAGCGGAAGUACGUGCUAAGCUCUUCAUACUUGCGUGUCAUUUUCGACGAUAAAUUAUCUGAAUCGAGGAUCGACACUGUCAUGUACACAUUAUCUAAGAAGAUGAAGAGCAAUGCAGGAAAAAACAACAACGGAUAAUGGUUUUGCAACUGGAGCUAGCAAGGAUGCAUAUGAACUCGUUACACCUAUAUAUUUAUGUUAAACUUAUCACACUUCAAGAAGUAAACCAACAACUAUUACCAUAGAUAUAUGAAUCACAACAACCUUAUAAGAUUUAUUCAAUACAAUAAACUCAGGUUCAUAAUAAUUAUAUAUAAUAAUUUUAGAGUAAUUGUUGCACCGAUUUGUCCCGCUUGGUUGGUAAUUAGUUCUUCGUGGGCCAAUGACUUAGCUUCACAUCUUGAAUUGGUGUAAGCUGAGCUAAACCACCAUAAUCCUCUGGAAGUGCUUCCUCCCCAAUUUCUUUAAUCAUCUCUUUUUUUUGUGCGUCAUUGUUCACAAUGACAACCUACGCACAAAGAAAAGAUUAUGUGAGAAAUUAAAGUUAUUUUUGAACUAUAGAAGAUUUUUUUAAGUAUAUAUAGAAAUAAUUCUCUCUAUUUAAACAAAAAAAAGUUUCAAUAGUUAGAUACGCACGGCAGGAGCACACAAACACACAUGAAGAGAGAGAGAGAGAGAGGGGGGGAGAGAGAGUACUUUUUCCAAAAUGGCCUUCUCGAGGAAUGCGGAGAUCAUCUUCCAAAUUCCGAUGAAUAUCCAAGGCAUGCUUAAGAUGUACAACUUCUCCAGCUGUUCCGGAUAGUACGACUGCAUCGAACAUCAUGAAUUUAAAAAGUAAGAAAAUAGAACAUUGUUUGCACGCAGAAUCUCCAGAUGAAUAUUAAAUUUCGUGAUGUCAAAUUAUUUUUGUUAAGAAUUUUCUUCAGAAAAUGCAUGAUUUAGCUAAGAUGAGUGAGCUAUAAGGACAGUUAUAAAAUAUUAAAAUUAUAGUAGCUAGGGAUAUAUACCUGUAGAUAUUGAAAACCUAUGAGAAAACCAUUAGCAUCCAAGUUCUUCAACCCAAGAUGUUGCAGGUCAAUAAUGACAACCAUUUUCUCACUUCCACCCCCUUCUUCUUUAGCACCACUACAAGGCAUAAUACAAUGACUUCAACUUAUACAAUUAUCUAUCUAACAAAAUAUUAACAUGAGCUUAACAUCAUGCACUAUAUUACUUUAGUAAUCACUCACAUUGAAGAGCAUAAAAUGAGGCUAAGUGAACUGCUUCAAGCAAUAAAAUCAUUUGCAAACCUCACAAUUACUUUGAACCAAGUUGGUGUUGGUGUUCGGCUCAAAUACCAAUUAUUUCUCUCAAUCCACAAAGAGAAGAGAAUGUAAUGUGUUACAAAGCAAAAAUUGAACCAUAACUGUGAUAUAUUAAAGGGUUAAAAAAUGCAAAAUUUUAUUAUAGUUUCUAAAGUCUUUCAAUGUUAAUUUGCAUAAUUGUUCUUGAAAACAUCUUUAUCUUUACAUAUGUAUCAAUCCUUCUACUAAAUGUUUUGAAUGAAAGAUAGCUAUAUUUAGUAUUAAUAGAUCAAUUUUUUUUGCACUGCUAACAUGGUUUUACCUUGCUAUUGUCUUGUCCAACAUAUAGGCCACAAACUCUGCCAAAGGAAGAGCAAACAAAAAAUCAAUAAAAUUAAUAAUUAAUUAAGAACAACAACAACAAAAGUAGAAAUACAUAAAUAUCCUUCCUUCGAGUUAGUUUAGUGCUAACUUGAACAAACUAGACAUGAUUUAAACUACUUAAUCUUUCACCCCCCAUUUUUUUCCCUUUGAUAAAUAUAGGGUGUAAAUAGAGCAAUAUUGAGAAGAGAACCUAGUAUAAAGAAAUGUUGAAGUGGAUUAAUUUCUACCAAGCACGGGGCCAAUAAUUUAACUCGACUUGAACCCACUAGAAAGUAACCAAUAUAGUUUUGGUUAGUUCUCACUGGCUACACUGAAUAGUUCUACCACGUGCUAGCACUGUGUGUUGAACGUAUCAAUCCCACAUUAAUUACGUAUAAGAAUUCUGAUCUGUAACUGACCGUUCCUAGAGCAAGUGGCAAAGGGUUUGAUGGUUGAUAUUCGAGACCCAAGUUCGAAUCCUAAUUGAUUCACAUUUCCAGCUAAGUUUAUUUCUAAAUAAAAUAAACGAACCGGGUAGCAUGCUACCUAUCUCUCUCAAAAAAAAAAAGAUUUUUGAUUUGUAUAUAACAUGAAAGAGUUACUUCAUUUAUCAACUUAAGCUUUUGAAUUGAUCCUAAUUAGGUAUUGGAGGUCAAAAGUUUGCAAGAGUAGGGAGUAGUAACACUAAAGAGGACAAAUCAAUCAUCCACCUCCAGUGUUCUUGUGUAAGGGAGAAUUUGGCUAAAAAAGUACUUCUUUAAUAAGCAAGUGAAAAGUAAUGUAGGCCUCUUUUCAAGUCAACAGCACAUUAGAAGAAGUUUACACCAGCAAAUUUAUACCAUAAACUGAUCAUUUGAUUCUUAUCUAUAUAUCUAAUAUAUUUUCAGCAUGUGCGUAACAAUAUUCUUCAGUUUAAAUAAACCAUUUUUUCCUCCUCAUUUUUUUUUCUCUACUGAAAAGGACUUGGUGAGUUUUACUUCCAAAAAACAGCCAAAAAAGGAGUCAUCAACUCGAUUCCUGGUCUCACUUAAGUAGCAGCUGUUUUCAUAGAUGAUGCCAAUAUACUAUGUUGUUGUAGCCUCUGUGUCUACAAGAGUAUAUAUAAGGUUGCUUAUAAUAUUUGACCUACCUAGAAUCAAGGAUAUAAAUGCUAUGGCAUGGAGUCGUACCGACAAACUUUCUAACACGAUUAGACAUGUGUGUAUCGUGCGGUAUUGAUAUAUGCUAGUUACAAAAAAUACCUGUAUACCGACAUACUAUAGCAUGGAAUAUUUUUUCUGACACAAAACUUAUUCUAAUUAUUGAAUAAUUAUUUAUUAAUUUAAAAGAAAAGAGAAUAUUGAGCCAUGCCAUUAAUACAAAAAUCGCAUUAUGCUGAUAUCUUAUCGGUAUGGUAUGUCAUAAUAGGUAUGAUCUGUAAUGAGCAGCACUUAAAAUAUUGCUUAGAAUUAUAAUAAUUAAAUCUUAUACUUUUUUUUUUUGAUUUGAGAGAGAUAGUUAGCUAAAACUGCUUGAUUUGUUCAUCUAAAGCAUUUUCCCUUUAUAAAAGUAAAAAUGCAUGGAAGCCCCUUCAACUAUAGGAUGUUCUAAAAUAGUCUCCUCAAGUAUUAUAUUUUUUCGGCCAUUAAUUGUCACACUUUUAUUUGCUAAAAACUAGUUAGAACUAUUAAUCAUCUAAUUUUUUAGACAAAGAAAUUAUUCAAUUCAAUAAAAAAUUGAAAAAAAAGAAAACGUUGAGUGAUUUCAAAAAUGGAUUGAGGGACCUUAAAAAGAAUUUACUGAGGAAACAAUAUUAGAGAUGUUACUCUUGAACUGGAGCUGGUCCUUGGGGGCGAAAUGCUUGCAGGCCUGGAGGAUAACAAGAGGGUGGCCAUCUUUUGUGGGGCGCUGCAGGUAGGCCUUCCGGGCCUCGAACUCGGCGGCGAUCUCCGCCUCGUCGACGCUCCCCGACGGCGCGAUCUCGACCCGCCAUUUCUCCCAAUCUGCGAACAUUUUCGCCGCCUUCUCCGGGCUCAUGGACUUGGCCCUCAAGAAUCUCAGGAGAGUCUCAUCAUCUCCGUAGUAAGAGCUCUGCAUUACGUAUUUACAUACACGCAAAUUAAGACUCAUUUUUUCCUUUCUUACCCCCGCAAAGGCGCAUUCGCGAAUACUUUUAAACAGGAAAAAAACGUAUAAAACUUAUCUGAACUAUGAUGUAUCUUUAUAUCACUACCUAAUCUUUGAAGUUCGGGUUUUGCCACUUAAUUUUUUGAAUUCAUUUGAUGACUCUCCUUUUCUUCGGAACUAGAGUUUUGCAUAGUUGAUCUUAGGCUAUAGUUUUAUCUAAAGUGAAUGAUGCAUCUUGUACCAGGAAAUUUUUUUGUUUUUAAAUCAUCAAUUGAAGGAAUCAAACGGUCAGAUUCCGAAAUUAAAACUUUCAAAGAUUAAGUUAUCGGACAAUACUUAAAAAGAUGCAUGCUACAGAGUGUAAAUAUAAAAUAUGGCACGAAUCUUAAAGCUCGCAGUGAAGACCUGGGAUGAUGAGCCCAUGUUCUGCAGCAAAUCCCGCAUCUGUGCUAAUGCCAUCUCGGCCUUGUUCUCCAUGAAUUAUGAGUCAGAGAGAGAGAGAGAGAGGGAGAGAGAGAUUAAAGUGCUAUGACAUAGCUUUGUAAUUCUAACUGCUUUUAUAUAUAUAUAUAUAUAUAAACAUUAAUUUGGACAACGUGUUGGACCGUGCAUUAUAGGUUGGGCAUUCAAAUUUCCUCACCAUUUUCAAUAAUUAAAAUUUUCCUCUCUUUAUUCCCCAUGUCAUUGUAUUUAUUUUCCGAACCUGGUCCGUGCACCAGCUAAUAUUACCGUGCGUGUGCUUAGUCCUCUUACAUCUCUACUUUCAAUUCCCCCUAAAAAUCAACCUAGAUUUUGCGCAGAAAAUGAAAUGGUAGAUCUUACUCGGCAGCGACUAUGCGAUUGAAAGUAGAGAUCAUGAGAUGGAGCACAUUGUUGAUCAACAUAAUAAAUAUUAUAAAUGAUUAUUUUAUAUUCUUUAAUAUAGUAUUGAAGCAAAAAAAAUCACGUUGUGAAUCUAUUAAAAAAUUUCGAGCCGAAAAGUGGAGAAGAGUGUGCAAUUUUAAUAUUAAAAAUAUUAUUUUAUGAUUGUUUAAACUCUAAAAGAUAAACUAUUAUCUCAUAUUCUUUAACACGUCUCUUGUAUAACAAUAUGAGUUGAGCUGGAAUACUAUCGGUAGCAAACGGGCUCCGUUGUCAUUCAUUUGUUUUCGAUAAUAGAGCCUCUAAAUCGACGAUCGGCACCGUUGAAAAUGAUCUAUAUUACUUGAAGUAUCUAGAAAUCAAAUUUCAUACUUUUCCAGUAUUAUUUUCUUGUCCAUCAAGUGUGAGUAAAAAUAAAAGGUUGAAAAUGAAUAUUCUUUAAAAAAUGAUGAUAGGAGUCUUGUAAUCAAGAUCAAGAGUAUAGAUCUUGUUUUAAAUAGUUUAAAGAAUUUUCUAACCAAAAUUCAAUUGAUUUGGAUAGUUUUACACCGUUAAACGAGAAAACCCUUCAUAUCAACCAUUAAAAUUAUAAAUUUUGAAACCCUUUGAUCAUUAGGUAAAUGAUGUCAAAAAGAUUUAAAAUUUGAUUUCUAGAUAUUUCAAGUAAUAUAAAUCAUGUUCAACGGUGUCGAUCGUCGAUUUAGAAGCUCCAUCAUCGAAAACAAAUGGAUAGCAACGGAGCCGGUUUGCUACCGAUAGCAUUCCAGCUCAACACAUAUAUAUAUAUAUAUAUAUAUAUAUAUAUAUAUUCUAUUAGAGAUAUUUGCUUUGAAAUAUAUCUCUCCUACCGACCGUCCCGAGAGCAAGUGGCAAAAGACUUGGUGGCAAGCGGGUAGCGUGCUACCUACCUCUCAAAUAUAUAUAUAUAUAUAUAUAUAUAUAUAUAUAUUCUUAAAUAUUGAUGAAUUUUACUUUCCGCGUGCUUUAAAAUUCACAGCGAAUAAAAUUUAAAUCUAGAAAAUUAUAUGCUUGGGAUAAGACUAGACACAUAAAAAUAUCAUAUUUCUCCACCUUAUCAAAAUAUUAUUAUUUUAAAAUAAUAUUACUGAAUUCUAACGGCGGCGCUCUAAAUAAGACAAUACAUCAAAAUGUCCAAUGGAAUUUUCCACCUAAGUUAUCAAUUUUCGUACUAAAAGCAUAUAUUUUUGGCAUCAUCAUCAAUUGAGCCAGGACAAUCAUAGAAAUUGUCAUCUCAGCGGUGGUUUAUAUGGAGACCGUAGAUGGUGCGGAGAAAUUGGUUAGGGAGGAAUACAACUCGGGUACGGGUAUGGCGGGUGCGGGUACGGAUACGGUUUGUGACGAUAUUUUUUUCAGACCGAUAGGAUGUGGUUAAUUAUAAAAAAUAUUAAUUAAGGCAUUCGAAUUAUCGUUGUAGAUUAGAAAUUUGAGUUUCUGUUCAAAUAAUACUCUUUAAGGAAUUAAUUAUCGCCUCCACUUUGGAUUGAAAAGUAGAAAAUUUUGAAGUGUUUCUCAUGGUACAGAACUUAUCAAUAAUUUUAAUGAAUACGAAAAAAAAAAAAAAAAGCGCGAAAAUAUUACAAUGGUAUUGACGCAUUUCACAGCAUUUUUAGUGAUAGCUUAUAGUUCAGACUUGGAGGGUGUUUGAUUUUUUUAAAAUAUUAAAAAUAUAUAUUUUUUAAAAAAAAUCAUAAUAUUUUUUUUUAUAAAAAAUUAAAAGGAUCAAACGAAUUUGAAAAAAUAAUUUUUUUUUUGGGGAACGAAUGAACGAAAUGUACUUUUCCACCCUGAAAAGUAGUUUCUAGAAUAAGUUUUUAAUUAUCUAUCAGUGCUAUCCUACUUUUUAUUUUAAAACUUAAGUAAUUUAUAUAUGAUGAUUAAAAUUGAAGGGUUUGCCCACUAAUGUAAUUUUCUAGGGGCAUCUGGAAACUUCCAUGUGCACCUUCUAGAAGAAACGGAUAAAAAUCCAGCACUGUUUACAACUCAAGAUCAUGAAUUGAUACCUAAACGCUACGUGGCAAUAUUCUAUUGGUUUGGCGGACCACAGAAGAUAUUUACGUGCCGGCGACGCGGACGGGCACGUGCCCGUUGCCCGUGUCAGUUGGUAUUUUUCGCCUUGCCGACUUUGCCCUUGUAGAAUCUGUAUAUUUACAAAAAUGACACCAACAUGGUGUUAAAAAGAAAAAAAAGAAAAUUAGUUAUUAUAUGGUGAAAACUAAUCAAAAAAAAAAAAAAGGUGUGUAUGUGUAUAUAUGUUCUCCUAUGGUGUCACUCAUUUUACACUCAAAAUUGAAAAAUUAUUACAACAAAAGUUUCUCCACAAUUUAUUAGGGUGAAAGAAGUAUUUACUUUUUUAGGCGGAAUGUUAGUGUGUUAAAAUACAUUAUUUCAUAACUUGUAUAAUUUUUUUAAUAACAUAAUAUUCAUCAUACAAAUUUUAUUUUGUCGAUGCUUUUAAAUAUUUAGACUCUAUUUAAAUACAUAAAUAUUUUAUUUGAUAUAUUUUUUAAUUUAUUUAAAAAAUUAUAUACUUAUAUAAUUGUUAUUGAAUUUAAGUGAACCUAUUUGUAGAAAAAAUAAUAUCUUUCACAUCAUAAUCGUACCCGCUAUUACAAACAAAAAGAAAUUUUUUGUUUUUUUCUUUCUAAAAUAUUGUUCUUACAUACUACUAAUAUAAUGACAAACACAAUAGGGAGAUUUAUUCUUACAGAUUGUUAAUAUAAUAGCAAACACGGUAUGGAGAUUUUUGAUUUGCUAAUAUACGCAGUCCAGAAAUAUUAGUUGGAUAUAUUAUUUGUAAAUCAACAAAUUAUGAGAACAGUACUACCGCAGACAAAAUACAUUUGUUUUUUGUCAAAUUUGUAACUUCUAUUUUUUGUUGCGGAGCAGCUAUCACUCUUGAUCUAAUUAU
RNAcentral lists this long non-coding RNA (18700 nucleotides) under Ananas comosus (pineapple). Its description in RNAcentral is "long non-coding RNA (ACOM_LNC019181)". The record is from RNAcentral. Lineage: Eukaryota; Viridiplantae; Streptophyta; Magnoliopsida; Poales; Bromeliaceae.